This 567-nucleotide ribosomal RNA is filed under the name Clathrus archeri. RNAcentral describes it as "eukaryotic LSU rRNA". The stretch from base 170 to 323 matches the Rfam family "5.8S ribosomal RNA". The record is from RNAcentral. Lineage: Eukaryota; Fungi; Basidiomycota; Agaricomycetes; Phallales; Clathraceae.
ACAAGGUUUCCGUAGGUGAACCUGCGGAAGGAUCAUUGCUGAAUUUAUUUUCAAAUCCCUUUCACACACCUGUGCACUCUAGCGCGAGGGGAGACCCUCCGCGUUUUUACAAUACACCUACGCCUGUCGUACGCAUGCGAUAAAUAAAAAAGUUUAUAUAUAAAAACAUAACUUUCAACAACGGAUCUCUUGGCUUUCGCAUCGAUGAAGAACGCCGCGAAAGCGCGAAACGUAAUGUGAAUUGCAGAAUUCAGUGAAUCAUCGAAUCUUUGAACGCAUCUUGCGCCCCUUGGCAUUCCGAGGGCAUGCCUGUUUGAGUGUCGUGAAGUACCUCGAAAUCGUGUCUUUUUCUGACACGGUUUCGGAUUUGGACGCCUGCCGCGCCACUGCGGCUCGUCUCUAAACGCAUUAGCGAAACGCGCCACCGGUCUAAGCUCUCAGACGUGAUAAAACAAGCGUCGACGGAGCGCGACCGUGCGUCGCUCACGAACCGUCCGCGAGGACAAUUCCACACGCAAAUGUGACCUCAAAUCAGGCAGGACUACCCGCUGAACUUAAGCAUAUCAA